RNAcentral lists this ribosomal RNA (548 nucleotides) under uncultured bacterium. Its description in RNAcentral is "partial 16S ribosomal RNA". It matches the Rfam family "Bacterial small subunit ribosomal RNA", at positions 355 to 895 of the family's 1533-position model. The record is from RNAcentral.
UGGGGAAUUUUGGACAAUGGGCGAAAGCCUGAUCCAGCAAUGCCGCGUGUGUGAAGAAGGCCUUCGGGUUGUAAAGCACUUUUGUCCGGAAAGAAAUCCUUGGCUCUAAUACAGUCGGGGGAUGACGGUACCGGAAGAAUAAGCACCGGCUAACUACGUGCCAGCAGCCGCGGUAAUACGUAGGGUGCAAGCGUUAAUCGGAAUUACUGGGCGUAAAGCGUGCGCAGGCGGUUUGCUAAGACCGAUGUGAAAUCCCCGGGCUCAACCUGGGAACUGCAUUGGUGACUGGCAGGCUAGAGUAUGGCAGAGGGGGGUAGAAUUCCACGUGUAGCAGUGAAAUGCGUAGAGAUGUGGAGGAAUACCGAUGGCGAAGGCAGCCCCCUGGGCCAAUACUGACGCUCAUGCACGAAAGCGUGGGGAGCAAACAGGAUUAGAUACCCUGGUAGUCCACGCCCUAAACGAUGUCAACUAGUUGUUGGGGGAUUCAUUUCCUUAGUAACGUAGCUAACGCGUGAAGUUGACCGCCUGGGGAGUACGGUCGCAAGAUU